UACGAAGGGGGCUAGCGUUGUUCGGAAUUACUGGGCGUAAAGCGCACGUAGGCGGAUCGAUCAGUCAGAGGUGAAAUCCCAGGGCUCAACCCUGGAACUGCCUUUGAUACUGUCGAUCUGGAGUAUGGAAGAGGUGAGUGGAAUUCCGAGUGUAGAGGUGAAAUUCGUAGAUAUUCGGAGGAACACCAGUGGCGAAGGCGGCUCACUGGUCCAUUACUGACGCUGAGGUGCGAAAGCGUGGGGAGCAAACAGG
Molecule: ribosomal RNA, 253 nt
Filed under: uncultured bacterium
Lineage: Bacteria
Description: partial 16S ribosomal RNA
Rfam family: Bacterial small subunit ribosomal RNA
Source: RNAcentral